UUUUAUUUAUACUAGGAAUGGGUAGGUUAGAUGGACGGGCAGCCUGAGGCCACGUGGGGUCUGGGAUUGGCUGUCCAAGACACGGUGCACUUGUGGGUUCUACCUUUGGUUAUAUUUGGAACAGCGUUGAAAAAGUGAAGUCUUUGAGUGAAAUAGAGUUUGGUUAUUUACCUGGAUACCCUGGUCUUCAAGCAGGAACAUUUGCCAUCCUUGUUUGGAGAUAAUCAAGGACGGAAAUGUUGCCAAUACAAAGAGCUGGGGUUGUUUUAUAAAUUCAUUUGAUGAUUUGGAAGCUGAAUAUGUUCAAUGGUUGAAGACACAUGUAGGUCAUAAUCGUGUUUUCAGUGUUGGACCACUAAGUUUGGUAGGCCCUGAUGUAUCGGAUCGGGGCAAUUUAGGUUCUGUGUCUGACAUAAAUGUCGAGGUCUUGACUUGGCUUGAUCGAUGUCCUGAUGGUUCAGUUGUUUAUGUUUGCCUCGGGAGCCAAAAGCUGUUGAGAAAAGAACAAAUGGAAGCCUUGGCUAAAGGACUUGAAAAGAGUGGCACACGAUUUAUCUGGUGGUGAAUUCGGGCACAACUCAACAGCAGGUCGAAGGGUUCGGAGUAGUACACGAUAGGUUCGAGCAACGAACCGCAGGUCAAGAUUUGAUGAUAAAAGAGUGGGCACCCAAUGGGGUUGUUUUAUAAAUUCGCUUGAUGACUGAAGGUGAAGGCAUGAAGGCCAAGGCAAAAGAUCUCAAAUAGAAGGCUUUGGCAGCAGUGAGUCAUGGGGGAAAACUCCAUGAAUGAUUUGGAUAGAUUUGUGGAACAACUGGGUCAACUUGGAGGGUGAUAAAUCCUUUUGUUUUAUCAGAGUGAUAUGGGGCAGAAUGCUGCUUCAACACAAUGUCUACUUUUUAAUUUAUUGUUAAUUUCGUUAAUUAGAUGUUUUGUUAACGUUUGUUUAAUUGAUGCAGAAACUGUGUGUUUUGAUUAGUGAAAUGAUGUGUGUAAAGAAUAGCUAAAACACAUCGUUUCAAUCCUAGCUCAAUAAGUAAAAUGAUGCGUAGCUGAUAACUGUUUUGACAGCUAUUUUUUGGUUAUUUCCUUGUACCCGUCGCUUGUCCCUAUUUGAGCACCAACGAGGCUCAAAGAACGGUUAUGAAUGAACAAGCUGGAAUUUUAGCCU
Gossypium raimondii (Peruvian cotton) is the source of this 1168-nucleotide long non-coding RNA. RefSeq lists it as uncharacterized. The record is from RefSeq and is a predicted model, not a curated record. The transcript is spliced from 2 exons. NCBI's taxonomy places the organism in Eukaryota, Viridiplantae, Streptophyta, Magnoliopsida, Malvales, Malvaceae.